RNAcentral lists this ribosomal RNA (119 nucleotides) under uncultured bacterium 89. The record is from RNAcentral.
UGCCCGUCAAUAUUCAAUUGUCAAAGAACUCAGAUCGCGUUCAGCGAUCUGCCGCAGCGAAGCUAAAUCUUCGCGGCGACACAGCACUGAAUGGGUAUUAGAUGAUGGUGGGCCUGGGU